Gallus gallus (chicken) is the source of this 2363-nucleotide long non-coding RNA. The record is from Ensembl. NCBI's taxonomy places the organism in Eukaryota, Metazoa, Chordata, Aves, Galliformes, Phasianidae.
GGCAUGCGCUCAGGGAAUACACUGCUGUGUGACCCGCAUAAGUUACUUAUUAGUUCAAUUAAAAUGCGGAAUGUUAAACAUUAAAUAAGGCAAAGUGAAGUUAUGAAAUCAUAAACAGUGAGUCUGCAGAAAAGGAAGAGGUGGGAGGGUCCAGGACGACAGCCCCUCAUUGCUGGUGGAGAUAUCCCUUCUGCAGCACUCUUCAUUCCUCCAGAGGGUUUCAAGCCCUCACUGGUACCAGCCAUGCCCCAAAACUUGUCAGAGCUGGGCUGUGGGGGAAGUGAGCUUAGGCAGCAGGGAGAGAGUGAGCACUUCCUCAGCCUGCAGCCAGAAUCUGCUACCUAACAGAAAAAGGACAGUGGGAUUUUCCGUGCAACAGAGACUGAGUGUGACUGCUGGGGGAGAAAGCAGGCGGAGAGAUUAGACAUGUCUGAUGCUGACAGAAAGCAUGUUUGUGCUUAAUACAUUGGAGAAAUUGUUCAGGAGCAAUCCAGCCGUGUGAAAAUAUGACCCUUGAAAUACUGCCAAGGGCCAGCUUGCGGAAGAAGGAAUUGUGGCUCUUCCUGCCUGCAAAGUAUGCCUGCUUGGAAAGUCCAUCUACAAAUCCUGAAGAGGUACAUGGACAGUUUGGGGCAGUCCUGGCAAGCACCAAGUACCAGAAGGAGGGCACAUGCUUGUACAGAAACGUGAUGGACAGAGAGCCUGUUUAUGUUACUUGAUGUGGUCACCUGAGUUGAGGAGCAGUGUGGAGCUACUGCAUCCAACAAAGCAUCAAGAGAUGCUGUCACAACCCUACACACAAUCCACUGCAAGACCAAGCCACCAAUUCUGCACAGCCACCAGUGCUGUCUGUGCUUCAGGAAAACUGAGAAAAGCUGAAGAGGCUGAACUUGUCGUCCUGAAGGAGAAGAAAAUGCCUCAGAAAACCAGGAACCCUUCCAUCCAUGCUAAGAGAAUACUUGUUCAAUUAAACGACUUUUACCUGUGUGGCAGCAGCUUGUAUCUCUUAAUGUGCCAAAUCCCUGUCUCACUGUUAGUCUCUGUACCUAGUAGCUGUCUUAAAACCCCUCAGACUGAGAGGUGACCCUCUCACCUCUCUAUCUCCUCCUGGCCAUCGAAGGUCACUUCAGCAAUGUCUAAAGAGUUAUCUUCUUUACUGAAAACACUUGGAGCAGCAUGGUGAAUGCCACUGUCAAGCCUGGAGCCAUAGUCAAAGACAAGGAAGUGCCCUGCCCCCAUGAGAUAAACCUUCUCCAACGCCAGGUUAAAACAAACAAACAAACAACGAAAAAAACAAUUAGAGCUUUCACUGCUCAAAGAUAGCUAUUAACAAACCUGCUGUUUUGCAGAAGUAGCAUGUAUGAACGUAUGUAUCUAUAAAAGAAAACCAACAAAAUUAUCCUCCCUAAAUUGUAAUGGCUUCUUCAGUAUUCAUAUUAAUACUUACUUUAAACCUUGAUGUCUAACUCUUCAUGAGCAUUCCUGUCUAGAGAAAUUAAUUUAUGCUUUGUUCUGAAAGCAUAUCAGCAAAUGGCCAUUGAUGCUGAUAGCCAUUUAUUGCUCCGGCAGUGAGGUUAAACAGCUUGUACUUUUAACUGCAUGGUACAAAAGAUAUAAAACUAUUUGCUUGAGAUAUUAAUCCAGGAUGACCUGAUAUAACAUGACAGUAAAAGAGCUUUUCCCAAAGAAGGGAAAUGUGUGCUUUGCUCGGUACCUCCUGCUGACUUCUCUGUUCCCAGUGAAUAAACAUACAGCUGAAUUCUCCCAUGCAGGUGUGAUCCAGGAAUGAACUGGCAGCACAUCCUUGUAUCUGCGAGUGCCAAGUCUAACUCACAGAAGCAGCCCACCACCAGCUCUGCAGCCAAAAUACUUGCUCCAUUUUCUCAAGAAUCAACAAAAUAACACACGAACAAAAAAUUCACUCAGUAUAUAUCUCUAAAGAAUGAAGCACCUUGGCGUAUAUACAAUGAAGCAUCAUGUGCAAGAAUGGUGUUUCAUGACUCAGCCACCAUAGACGACUUCACGGAAGCAAAAAGGGAAACUGUGCGUGAGGGAAAUGAGAAAUGGUCUAAUGAUUAAAGAUGAUGUACAGUCUAAUCUCUACAGAUGACCUAGUAAUUUGAAGGAGAAGAGCUUAAACGUUGGAAUAUUUCAUCUGAAAUAAUCUGUUCCCCAGAAGAGGGGAGCCACGUGCCCUCAGAUUGCAGCUGCUGAAUUGUCCAGCAGGUUGGCAAAGGAAAGUACAUGCUCUGUUUGCAUAUUUGUCCCGUGCCUUUUGUAUCCCAACUUGAGUUCUAUUCUGUUUCAGUCUGUUUUUCUGUUACUCAGAAAAAAACUCUGAAAAACAUUAAACUCAGCUCCUC